GUUGAGGAAGAUAAUGACGGUACUCAACAAGGAAGUGACGGCUAACUACGUGCCAGCAGCCGCGGUAAAACGUAGGUCACAAGCGUUGUCCGGAAUUACUGGGUGUAAAGGGAGCGCAGGCGGGAAGACAAGUUGGAAGUGAAAUCCAUGGGCUCAACCCAUGAACUGCUUUCAAAACUGUUUUUCUUGAGUAGUGCAGAGGUAGGCGGAAUUCCCGGUGUAGCGGUGGAAUGCGUAGAUAUCGGGAGGAACACCAGUGGCGAAGGCGGCCUACUGGGCACCAACUGACGCUGAGGCUCGAAAGUGUGGGUAGCAAACAGGAUUAGAUACCCUGGUAGUCCACACUGUAAACGAUGAUUACUAGGUGUUGGAGGAUUGACCCCUUCAGUGCCGCAGUUAACACAAUAAGUAAUCCACCUGGGGAGUACGACCGCAAGGUUGAAACUCAAAGGAAUUGACGGGGGCCCGCACAAGCAGUGGAGUAUGUGGUUUAAUUCGACGCAACGCGAAGAACCUUACCAAGUCUUGACAUCCUGCGACGAUGCUGGAAACAGUAUUUUCCUUCGGRACGCAGAGACAGGUGGUGCAUGGUUGUCGUCAGCUCGUGUCGUGAGAUGUUGGGUUAAGUCCCGCAACGAGCGCAACCCUUAUGGUCAGUUACUACGCAAGAGGACUCUGGCCGGACU
Molecule: ribosomal RNA, 686 nt
Filed under: Faecalibacterium prausnitzii
Lineage: Bacteria; Bacillati; Bacillota; Clostridia; Eubacteriales; Oscillospiraceae
Description: bacterial SSU rRNA
Rfam family: Bacterial small subunit ribosomal RNA
Source: RNAcentral